Molecule: unclassified non-coding RNA, 370 nt
Filed under: uncultured Actinomycetes bacterium
Lineage: Bacteria; Bacillati; Actinomycetota; Actinomycetes
Description: uncultured actinobacterium contains 16S-23S intergenic spacer region
Source: RNAcentral
UCCGGUUUGUCACCGGCAGUCUCAUUAGAGUGCCCUUGCGUAGCAACUAAUGAUAAGGGUUGCGCUUGUUGCGGGACUUAACCCAACAUCUCACGACACGAGCUGACGACAACCGUGCACCACCUGUAUACCGACCUUGCGGGGCGACUGUUUCCAGACGUUUCCGGUAUAUGUCAAGCCUUGGUAAGGUUCUUCGCGUUGCAUCGAAUUAAUCCGCAUGCUCCGCCGCUUGUGCGGGCCCCCGUCAAUUCCUUUGAGUUUUAGCCUUGCGGCCGUACUCCCCAGGCGGGGCACUUAAUGCGUUAGCUACGGCACGGAGAACGUGGAAUGUCCCCCACACCUAGUGCCCACCGUUUACGGCGUGGACUAC